Molecule: ribosomal RNA, 464 nt
Filed under: uncultured bacterium
Lineage: Bacteria
Description: partial 16S ribosomal RNA
Rfam family: Bacterial small subunit ribosomal RNA
Source: RNAcentral
CUACGGGGUGCAGCAGUGGGGAAUUUUGGACAAUGGGCGCAAGCCUGAUCCAGCCAUGCCGCGUGCAGGAUGAAGGCCUUCGGGUUGUAAACUACUUUUGUACGGAACGAAAAGACUCCUUCUAAUAAAGGGGGUCCAUGACGGUACCGUAAGAAUAAGCACCGGCUAACUACGUGCCAGCAGCCGCGGUAAUACGUAGGGUGCGAGCGUUAAUCGGAAUUACUGGGCGUAAAGCGUGCGCAGGCGGUGAUGUAAGACAGAUGUGAAAUCCCCGGGCUCAACCUGGGAACUGCAUUUGUGACUGCAUCGCUGGAGUGCGGCAGAGGGGGAUGGAAUUCCGCGUGUAGCAGUGAAAUGCGUAGAUAUGCGGAGGAACACCGAUGGCGAAGGCAAUCCCCUGGGCCUGCACUGACGCUCAUGCACGAAAGCGUGGGGAGCAAACAGGAUUAGAUACCCUUGUAGUC